This 264-nucleotide ribosomal RNA is filed under the name Triticum aestivum (bread wheat). RNAcentral's name for it is "partial small subunit ribosomal RNA". The record is from RNAcentral. Lineage: Eukaryota; Viridiplantae; Streptophyta; Magnoliopsida; Poales; Poaceae.
AUGCUAAUAGCUCAGUCCUUUUGCGUGUUCAUUGACAAGUUGUCCGUACAGUACCUUGGCGUCAACAACCACGGCCAUGAUGACGGAGUCGUGCUGGCCGACUGCCCUGCUUCCAUGCGCCGAGCAGUCUACUGGUUUGAGAUGACCGUGAGGACUGCUGGGCUCAAGGGGUUGAAUCGGGUUCACCACAUGUGGGGUGGCAACCUGGGUCAGCUAACUUUUGUUGGCCCUUUCUGCUAUUUGGUAUCUCUAGCCUGGUUUUAG